GGUGAAAAGCACCCCGGAAGGGGAGUGAAAUAGAACCUGAAACCGUGUGCUUACAAGUAGUCAGAGCCCGUUAAUGGGUGAUGGCGUGCCUUUUGUAGAAUGAACCGGCGAGUUACGAUUUGAUGCAAGGUUAAGCAGUAAAUGUGGAGCCGUAGCGAAAGCGAGUCUGAAUAGGGCGUUUAGUAUUUGGUCGUAGACCCGAAACCAGGUGAUCUACCCUUGGUCAGGUUGAAGUUCAGGUAACACUGAAUGGAGGACCGAACCGACUUACGUUGAAAAGUGAGCGGAUGAACUGAGGGUAGCGGAGAAAUUCCAAUCGAACCUGGAGAUAGCUGGUUCUCUCCGAAAUAGCUUUAGGGCUAGCCUCAAGUGAUGAUUAUUGGAGGUAGAGCACUGUUUGGACGAGGGGCCCCUCUCGGGUUACCGAAUUCAGACAAACUCCGAAUGCCAAUUAAUUUAACUUGGGAGUCAGAACAUGGGUGAUAAGGUCCGUGUUCGAAAGGGAAACAGCCCAGACCACCAGCUAAGGUCCCAAAAUAUAUGUUAAGUGGAAAAGGAUGUGGCGUUGCCCAGACAACUAGGAUGUUGGCUUAGAAGCAGCCAUCAUUUAAAGAGUGCGUAAUAGCUCACUAGUCGAGUGACACUGCGCCGAAAAUGUACCGGGGCUAAACAUAUUACCGAAGCUGUGGAUUGUCCUUUGGACAAUGGUAGGAGAGCGUUCUAAGGGCGUUGAAGCAUGAUCGUAAGGACAUGUGGAGCGCUUAGAAGUGAGAAUGCCGGUGUGAGUAGCGAAAGACGGGUGAGAAUCCCGUCCACCGAUUGACUAAGGUUUCCAGAGGAAGGCUCGUCCGCUCUGGGUUAGUCGGGUCCUAAGCUGAGGCCGACAGGCGUAGGCGAUGGAUAACAGGUUGAUAUUCCUGUACCACCUAUAAUCGUUUUAAUCGAUGGGGGGACGCAGUAGGAUAGGCGAAGCGUGCGAUUGGAUUGCACGUCUAAGCAGUAAGGCUGAGUAUUAGGCAAAUCCGGUACUCA
RNAcentral lists this ribosomal RNA (1032 nucleotides) under Staphylococcus aureus. RNAcentral's name for it is "partial 23S ribosomal RNA". It matches the Rfam family "Bacterial large subunit ribosomal RNA", at positions 513 to 1551 of the family's 2925-position model. Lineage: Bacteria; Bacillati; Bacillota; Bacilli; Caryophanales; Staphylococcaceae. The record is from RNAcentral.